CCUACGGGAGGCAGCAGUAGGGAAUAUUGCUCAAUGGGGGAAACCCUGAAGCAGCAACGCCGCGUGGGGGAUGAAGGUAUUCGGUUUGUAAACCCCUUUUGGUAGGGAAGAUAAUGACGGUACCUGACGAAGAAGCACCGGCUAACUACGUGCCAGCAGCCGCGGUAAUACGGAGGGGGCAAGCGUUAUCCGGAAUCACUGGGCGUAAAGAGAGCGUAGGCGGCAUUGCAAGUCAGAUGUGAAAGCCUGGGGCUUAACCAUCGAACUGCAGUUGAAACUGGUAUUCUAGAGUAGGGGAGAGGUAGGUGGAAUUCGUGGUGUAGCGGCGAAAUGCGUAGAGAUCAAGAGGAACACUCAUUGCGAAGGCGACCUGCUGGAACAUAACUGACGCUGAGGCGCGAAAGCGUGGGGAGCAAACAGGAUUAGAUACCCUAGUAGUC
This 440-nucleotide ribosomal RNA is filed under the name uncultured bacterium. RNAcentral's name for it is "partial 16S ribosomal RNA". It matches the Rfam family "Bacterial small subunit ribosomal RNA", at positions 338 to 795 of the family's 1533-position model. The record is from RNAcentral.